Molecule: ribosomal RNA, 504 nt
Filed under: uncultured bacterium
Lineage: Bacteria
Description: partial 16S ribosomal RNA
Rfam family: Bacterial small subunit ribosomal RNA
Source: RNAcentral
AUUGAACGCUGGCGGCAGGCCUAACACAUGCAAGUCGAACGGUAGCACAGAGAGCUUGCUCUCGGGUGACGAGUGGCGGACGGGUGAGUAACGUCUGGGAAACUGCCCGAUGGAGGGGGAUAACUACUGGAAACGGUAGCUAAUACCGCAUAACGUCGCAAGACCAAAGUGGGGGACCUUCGGGCCUCACACCAUCGGAUGUGCCCAGAUGGGAUUAGCUAGUAGGUGGGGUAAUGGCUCACCUAGGCGACGAUCCCUAGCUGGUCUGAGAGGGUGACCAGCCACACUGGAACUGAGACACGGUCCAGACUCCUACGGGAGGCAGCAGUGGGGAAUAUUGCACAAUGGGCGCAAGCCUGAUGCAGCCAUGCCGCGUGUAUGAAGAAGGCCUUCGGGUUGUAAAGUACUUUCAGCGGGGAGGAAGGCGGUGAAGUUAAUAGCUUAACCGAUUGACGUUACCCGCAGAAGAAGCACCGGCUAACUCCGUGCCAGCAGCCGCCGUAA